GCCUGUACCAAGGAGGAAUACAAAAGCAAAGUGUGAACAGUAUUCGUUACCUGGAAAGUAAUGUACAUGUUACAACAGUGGACUGCAGAAGAUAACUUCUCAGUCAGUCUAUCUAUAUGGGCACCAUCGAAUAUCCACAGUGCAGAAAACAGGCCAGAGACAAAAUAACAAUGCUCUGAAAUUUCUCCAAGAAGGAAAAAUAUAUAUAUCCACAACAAAACAAAAACCUUAUCAGGUCUCCAACUUUCUGAAGUGUUGACACUUUCAGUGGCCCGAUAUUCCGU
Non-coding RNA from Pelobates cultripes (western spadefoot toad), 284 nucleotides. NCBI's taxonomy places the organism in Eukaryota, Metazoa, Chordata, Amphibia, Anura, Pelobatidae. The record is from the annotation of a GenBank genome assembly.